This 497-nucleotide ribosomal RNA is filed under the name uncultured bacterium. RNAcentral describes it as "partial 16S ribosomal RNA". It matches the Rfam family "Bacterial small subunit ribosomal RNA", at positions 28 to 507 of the family's 1533-position model. The record is from RNAcentral.
GAUGAACGCUGGCGGCGUGCCUAAUACAUGCAAGUCGAGCGAACAGAUGAGGAGCUUGCUCCUCUGACGUUAGCGGCGGACGGGUGAGUAACACGUGGAUAACCUACCUAUAAGACUGGGAUAACUUCGGGAAACCGGAGCUAAUACCGGAUAAUAUAUUGAACCGCAUGGUUCAAUAGUGAAAGACGGUUUUGCUGUCACUUAUAGAUGGAUCCGCGCCGCAUUAGCUAGUUGGUAAGGUAACGGCUUAACAAGGCAACGAUGCGUAGCCGACCUGAGAGGGUGAUCGGCCACACUGGAACUGAGACACGGUCCAGCCUCCUACGGGAGGCAGCAGUAGGGAAUCUCCCGCAAUGGGCGAAAGCCUGACGGAGCAACGCCGCGUGAGUGAUGAAGGUCUUCGGAUCGUAAAACUCUGUUAUUAGGGAAGAACAAAUGUGUAAGUAACUAUGCACGCCUUGACGGUACCUAAUCAGAAAGCCACGGCUAACUACGUG